This 460-nucleotide ribosomal RNA is filed under the name uncultured bacterium. RNAcentral describes it as "SSU rRNA". It matches the Rfam family "Bacterial small subunit ribosomal RNA", at positions 26 to 518 of the family's 1533-position model. The record is from RNAcentral.
AGAGCGAACGCUGGCGGCAGGCCUAAUACAUGCAAGUCGAACGGACCCUUCGGGGUUAGUGGCGGACGGGUGAGUAACACGUGGGAACGUGCCCUUUGGUUCGGAACAACUCAGGGAAACUUGAGCUAAUACCGAAUGUGCCCCCUCCUUUGAUUAGGGGGGUGGGAAAGAUUUAUCGCCAUUGGAGCGGCCCGCGUCUGAUUAGCUAGUUGGUGGGGUAAAGGCCCACCAAGGCUACGAUCAGUAGCUGGUCUGAGAGGAUGAUCAGCCACACUGGGACUGAGACACGGCCCAGACUCCUACGGGAGGCAGCAGUAGGGAAUCUUGCGCAAUGGGCGAAAGCCUGACGCAGCCAUGCCGCGUGAAUGAUGAAGGUCUUAGGAUUGUAAAAUUCUUUCAGCGGGGACGAUAAUGACGGUACCCGCAGAAGAAGCCCGGCUAACUUCGUGCCAGCAGCCGC